Molecule: ribosomal RNA, 467 nt
Filed under: uncultured bacterium
Lineage: Bacteria
Description: partial 16S ribosomal RNA
Rfam family: Bacterial small subunit ribosomal RNA
Source: RNAcentral
GACGAACGCUGGCGGCGUGCUUAACACAUGCAAGUCGAACGGAAAGGCUCCAGCUUGCUGGAGUCCUCGAGUGGCGAACGGGUGAGUAACACGUGGGUAAUCUGCCCUGCACUCUGGGAUAAGCCCGGGAAACUGGGUCUAAUACUGGAUAUGACCUUUCUCCUUAUGGGGUUUGUUGGAAAGUUUUUCGGUGUAGGAUGAGCCCGCGGCCUAUCAGCUUGUUGGUGGGGUGAUGGCCUACCAAGGCGACGACGGGUAGCCGGCCUGAGAGGGUGAUCGGCCACAUUGGGACUGAGAUACGGCCCAGACUCCUACGGGAGGCAGCAGUGGGGAAUAUUGCACAAUGGGCGGAAGCCUGAUGCAGCGACGCCGCGUGAGGGAUGACGGCCUUCGGGUUGUAAACCUCUUUCAGCAGGGACGAAGCGUAAGUGACGGUACCUGCAGAAGAAGCACCGGCUAACUACGUG